Molecule: long non-coding RNA, 467 nt
Filed under: Drosophila melanogaster (fruit fly)
Lineage: Eukaryota; Metazoa; Arthropoda; Insecta; Diptera; Drosophilidae
Description: long non-coding RNA:sphinx (Dmel_CR34154)
Rfam family: Sphinx conserved region 2 (bases 140-297)
Source: RNAcentral
AUACUGUCAGUAUCGAAGGAACGCGGUGUCAUUUGGUGACUAUCCAGGUGAGUACAACCCCAAGGUGCACGGGCCCUAAGACCCCGCUCGCUUCUACGGUAAAGCCUGGCUGGGACGCCGCAACAAGACGCCCAACGCUGUGGCCGGAGCCGUGAACCGUGCAUGCUGGCGCUGGCAGUACAACUACGUGUUCCCGAAGCGCGCCGUGAUCGCUCCCUUCUUCCAGCUGACCGUCGCCAGCAUGACGUUCUUCUGUCUGAUUAACUACACCAAGUUGAAGCACCACAGGAACUACAAUACCACUAAGGGUCGCUGCCCAGUGGUCCUGCAUCUACAACAGAUUCUACACUUUCCACAAGACGUGCCAGAGGCGGGCAGCACUAAACUAUAUCUAUUUGGCUUUUGUGUUUUGAAAACUGCUAAAGUGAAUAAAAUGGCUGUGAAUAUCCAUGCUGCCAUAGACUCAG